GGGGGUGUACCGGCUUCGACGGAUUACCGCAAGAAAGGUUAUAAGCAUGUGGUAGUGCGGCUACCUUAAAACGCAACUUAAAUUAAACGCUAACAACGUUAAACCCGCAAGCGCUAAGCUUGCACUCGCUGCCUAACUAUUCGGCGGUGCGCUCUUUUCGCUAUUCCCUGUUGCAGUGUUAAGAGCGUCAGUUCAAACAGGCUACUACUUUGACGGUCGGUCGGCCGCCUAAGCAGAUCCACAGACCACGACGUCUAAAUUUUCGACUGCUUUGUAUUUUCGUUAAGACUAAAAGCAACCUAAACAUGUAGAAGAGCCUUUUGGACGUAUUUCGGAAAGGAGUUCAACUCUCCUCACCUCCACCA
This is a non-coding RNA of Firmicutes bacterium CAG:552, 365 nucleotides long. It matches the Rfam family "transfer-messenger RNA". From Rfam's summary of the family: Bacterial tmRNA, also known as 10Sa RNA or SsrA, is named for its dual tRNA and mRNA-like properties. Lineage: Bacteria; Bacillati; Bacillota. The record is from Rfam.